ACUCAAAUGAAUAGACGGGGACCCGCACAAGCGGUGGAGCAUGUUGCUUAAUUCGACGCAACGCGAAGAACCUUACCGGGGCUUGACGUGUACUGGAAGUGUGCAGAGAUGCAUUACGCUCUUCGGAGCCGGUACAUUAGGUGCUGCACGGCUGUCGUCAGCUCGUGCCGUGAGGUGUUGGGUUAAGUCCUCUAACGAGCGCAACCCCUUUCCGUAGUUGCCAUCAGGUGAAGCUGGGAACUCUACGGACACUGCCGGUGACAAACCGGAGGAAGGUGGGGAUGACGUCAAGUCAUCGUGGCCCUUACGUCCCGGGCUGCAAACGUGCUACAAUGGCUGGUACAAAGGGGAGCGAUACCGCGAGGUGGAGCAAAUCCCAAAAAACCGGUCUCAGUUCAGAUUGCAGUUUGCAACUCGACUGCAUGAAGUCGGAAUCGCUAGUAAUCGCGGAUCAGCAUGCCGCGGUGAAUACGUUCCCGGGUCUUGUACACACCGCCCGU
RNAcentral lists this ribosomal RNA (500 nucleotides) under uncultured bacterium. Its description in RNAcentral is "bacterial SSU rRNA". It matches the Rfam family "Bacterial small subunit ribosomal RNA", at positions 899 to 1397 of the family's 1533-position model. The record is from RNAcentral.